CUAAGGAAGGGCAGAAAUUAAAGUUUUCUUUUGGAGCCCUGAAGAUGAGCCAUAACGGUAGGCAUGACAGAUAGGCAGGAUUCAACAACAUCUGAAUUUGGGUUACAAGUAGUUCAACAAUAUCCGAAGUAAUUUGUCAUUCAAACAGUGCCAAAGGAACCUGGGUCAUGCUCUUUCAUUGGGAAAGGACACUUCAUUGAAUGGAAACACAAGCCGAAAAGCAGGAAACAAGGCUAAAUAAAGCAAGAUGCACACAAAGGCACAACAUCCUAAUUAGCCCAAACAAUUAUGGUCGCAACAGCCGCCACCAUCGAACAUAUCAACAUGAAAAGCCACAUGAUCACAGUAGAUCUUCAACCACCCAAAAGAGGAAGGCCGCAAAGUCAGCAAAAAUACAAGAGCCGCUUUAAUGAUGUCAAACGGAUCUCCCUUGAGGAUCAACUCGUUUCGAACGCACAAAAUAUGAUAAAAGAGGAUGGGGACUAACACGUACUGUAAAGUUCUAAGCUCAGAACCCAACUAGAGCUCAUAGUCCAAUAGAUCACCAGUAGAGACAUCAUUAACCUUUAACAUAGCCUUCUAUCUUUUUCAGGAUAAUACCAAAAGAAAGUUCUUGAGAGAGUCUGAAUGGAAAGAUGUGGUGGGGAAAUAGCUCUUUUCCUUCUGAUUGUGGAAGUGCAAAG
Molecule: long non-coding RNA, 683 nt
Organism: Morus notabilis
Lineage: Eukaryota; Viridiplantae; Streptophyta; Magnoliopsida; Rosales; Moraceae
Exons: 3
Source: RefSeq, a predicted model, not a curated record